GACGAACGCUGGCGGCGUGCCUAAUAUAUGCAAGUCGAACGCAUUUUCUUUCACCGUAGCUUGCUACACCGAAAGAAAAUGAGUGGCGAACGGGUGAGUAACACGUGGGUAACCUGCCCAUCAGCGGGGGAUAACACUUGGAAACAGGUGCUAAUACCGCAUAAUUCCAUUUACUGCAUGGUAGAUGGAUGAAAGGCGCUUUUGCGUCACUGAUGGAUGGACCCGCGGUGCAUUAGCUAGUUGGUGGGGUAACGGCCUACCAAGGCUGCGAUGCAUAGCCGACCUGAGAGGGUGAUCGGCCACACUGGGACUGAGACACGGCCCAGACUCCUACGGGAGGCAGCAGUAGGGAAUCUUCGGCAAUGGACGCAAGUCUGACCGAGCAACGCCGCGUGAGUGAAGAAGGUUUUCGGAUCGUAAAACUCUGUUGUUAGAAAAGAACAAGGAUGAGAGUGGAAAGUUCAUCCCUUGACGGUAUCUAACCAGAAAGCCACGGCUAACUACGUG
This 507-nucleotide ribosomal RNA is filed under the name uncultured bacterium. Its description in RNAcentral is "partial 16S ribosomal RNA". It matches the Rfam family "Bacterial small subunit ribosomal RNA", at positions 28 to 507 of the family's 1533-position model. The record is from RNAcentral.